CAGUAGCCACGGUAAAACGUAGGUGGCAAGCGUUGUCCGGAAUUAUUGGGCGUAAAGCGCGCGCAGGCGGAUCGGUCAGUUUGUCUUAAAAGUUCGGGGCUUAACCCCGUGAUGGGAUGGAAACUGCCAAUCUAGAGUAUCGGAGAGGAAAGUGGAAUUCCUAGUGUAGCGGUGAAAUGCGCAGAUAUUAGGAAGAACACCAGUGGCGAAGGCGACUUUCUGGACGAAAACUGACGCUGAGGCGCGAAAGCCAGGGGAGCGAACGGGAUUAGAUACCCGCGUAGUCCCUGUCUCUUAUACA
RNAcentral lists this ribosomal RNA (301 nucleotides) under uncultured bacterium. RNAcentral's name for it is "partial 16S ribosomal RNA". It matches the Rfam family "Bacterial small subunit ribosomal RNA", at positions 509 to 809 of the family's 1533-position model. The record is from RNAcentral.